CUUUCGCUGGUGUCUCUGUCACUUUCUCUCUGGCAGGUGGCUCACCGCAGCUGAUUUGCCUGUCAUAGUUGCUAGCAGUAGCUCGUUAGCAGCCAGCUGCUCAUCAGCUCUCACCGCUGGAGGGUUUUUUGAGUCGUCAUCAGGGCUUGAAGGUUCGCUUGACUGGAGGCUGAUUAAAAUCAGACUAUCGAGGAGUAAGCAGCACAUCAGACUGAUUGAUACAGC
Long non-coding RNA from Notolabrus celidotus (New Zealand spotty), 225 nucleotides. RefSeq lists it as uncharacterized. The transcript has 3 exons. The record is from RefSeq and is a predicted model, not a curated record. NCBI's taxonomy places the organism in Eukaryota, Metazoa, Chordata, Actinopteri, Labriformes, Labridae.